Molecule: unclassified non-coding RNA, 318 nt
Filed under: rhizosphere metagenome
Description: partial ribosomal RNA internal transcribed spacer region
Source: RNAcentral
GAGGUGGCCUGGCGCAAGCUGGGGAAGCCCGACCUAUUGUCAUGUGCACGUUGGGGAAGAAGGGUGGCGCUGGGGUGGGUUGUUUGAAGUUGGGCCGGGACGGAUGGCAGCCUGAGAGGGCGAGAUCUGGAACGGCCCGGCGCGGCCUGCGUUGGCGCUGCUGCCCGGACGAAGGAGAACUUCGGCGGAAGAGGUAGGCUGGACCUGCCCGCCGCCGGCCGUAAGCUAGUUGAAACUCUUUGAGGAGAAAGUGAAGCCUGAUAUAAGAAAGAACAGAAAAUGAAAAGCAAAACUUUCAACAACGGAUCUCUUGGCUCU